This 701-nucleotide ribosomal RNA is filed under the name uncultured Bacillota bacterium. RNAcentral describes it as "bacterial SSU rRNA". It matches the Rfam family "Bacterial small subunit ribosomal RNA", at positions 65 to 779 of the family's 1533-position model. The record is from RNAcentral. Lineage: Bacteria; Bacillati; Bacillota.
AACGAUGACGGAGAGCUUGCUCUUCUGAUUAGUGGCGAACGGGUGAGUAACACGUGAGUAACCUGCCCUUGACUCUGGGAUAAGCACUGGAAACGGUGUCUAAUACCGGAUACGAGCUUCAGCCGCAUGGCUAGGAGCUGGAAAGAAUUUUGGUCAAGGAUGGACUCGCGGCCUAUCAGCUAGUUGGUGAGGUAACGGCCCACCAAGGCGACGACGGGUAGCCGGCCUGAGAGGGUGACCGGCCACACUGGGACUGAGACACGGCCCAGACUCCUACGGGAGGCAGCAGUGGGGAAUAUUGCACAAUGGGCGAAAGCCUGAUGCAGCAACGCCGCGUGAGGGACGACGGCCUUCGGGUUGUAAACCUCUUUUAGUAGGGAAGAAGCGAAAGUGACGGUACCUGCAGAAAAAGCACCGGCUAACUACGUGCCAGCAGCCGCGGUAAUACGUAGGGUGCAAGCGUUGUCCGGAAUUAUUGGGCGUAAAGAGCUCGUAGGCGGUUUGUCGCGUCUGCUGUGAAAACCCGAGGCUCAACCUCGGGCCUGCAGUGGGUACGGGCAGACUAGAGUGCGGUAGGGGAGAUUGGAAUUCCUGGUGUAGCGGUGGAAUGCGCAGAUAUCAGGAGGAACACCGAUGGCGAAGGCAGAUCUCUGGGCCGUAACUGACGCUGAGGAGCGAAAGCAUGGGGAGCGAACAGGAUU